UGUGGAUGAGUGGCGAACGGGUGAGUAAUACGUGAGUAACCUGCCCUUGACUCUGGGAUAAGCCCGGGAAACUGGGUCUAAUACUGGAUGCUACAUGUCACCGCAUGGUGGUGUGUGGAAAGGGUUUACUGGUCUUGGAUGGGCUCACGGCCUAUCAGCUUGUUGGUGAGGUAAUGGCUCACCAAGGCGACGACGGGUAGCCGGCCUGAGAGGGUGACCGGCCACACUGGGACUGAGACACGGCCCAGACUCCUACGGGAGGCAGCAGUGGGGAAUAUUGCACAAUGGGCGAAAGCCUGAUGCAGCGACGCCGCGUGAGGGAUGACGGCCUUCGGGUUGUAAACCUCUUUCAGCAGGGAAGAAGCCACAAGUGACGGUACCUGCAGAAGAAGCGCCGGCUAACUACGUGCCAGCAGCCGCGGUAAUACGUAGGGCGCAAGCGUUGUCCGGAAUUAUUGGGCGUAAAGAGCUCGUAGGCGGUUUGUCGCGUCUGCUGUGAAAGCCCGGGGCUUAACCCCGGGUGUGCAGUGGGUACGGGCAGACUAGAGUGCAGUAGGGGAGACUGGAAUUCCUGGUGUAGCGGUGGAAUGCGCAGAUAUCAGGAGGAACACCGAUGGCGAAGGCAGGUCUCUGGGCUGUUACUGACGCUGAGGAGCGAAAGCAUGGGGGAGCGAACAGGAUUAGAUACCCUUGGUAGUCCAUGCCCGUAAACNGUUGGGCACUAAGGUGUGGGGGGACAUUCCAC
This 745-nucleotide ribosomal RNA is filed under the name Kocuria palustris. RNAcentral's name for it is "bacterial SSU rRNA". It matches the Rfam family "Bacterial small subunit ribosomal RNA", at positions 86 to 839 of the family's 1533-position model. Lineage: Bacteria; Bacillati; Actinomycetota; Actinomycetes; Micrococcales; Micrococcaceae. The record is from RNAcentral.